GACGAACGCUGGCGGCGUGCUUAACACAUGCAAGUCGAACGGAAAGGCCCUGCUUUUGUGGGGUGCUCGAUUGGCGAACGGGUGAGUAACACGUGAGUAACCUGCCCUUGACUUUGGGAUAACUUCAGGAAACUGGGGCUAAUACCGGAUAGGAGCUCCUGCUGCAUGGUGGGGGUUGGAAAGUUUCGGCGGUUGGGGAUGGACUCGCGGCUUAUCAGCUUGUUGGUGGGGUAGUGGCUUACCAAGGCUUUGACGGGUAGCCGGCCUGAGAGGGUGACCGGCCACAUUGGGACUGAGAUACGGCCCAGACGCCUACGGGAGGCAGCAGUGGGAAAUAUUGCACAAUGGGCGGAAGCCUGAUGCAGCAACGCCGCGUGCGGGAUGACGGCCUUCGGGUUGUAAACCGCUUUCGCCGGUGACGAAGCGUGAGUGACGGUAAUGGGUAAAGAAGCACCGGCUAACUACGUG
This 468-nucleotide ribosomal RNA is filed under the name uncultured bacterium. Its description in RNAcentral is "partial 16S ribosomal RNA". It matches the Rfam family "Bacterial small subunit ribosomal RNA", at positions 28 to 507 of the family's 1533-position model. The record is from RNAcentral.